AGAGUUUGAUCCUGGCUCAGAGCGAACGCUGGCGGCAGGCUUAACACAUGCAAGUCGAGCGGGCGUAGCAAUACGUCAGCGGCAGACGGGUGAGUAACGCGUGGGAACGUACCUUUUGGUUCGGAACAACACAGGGAAACUUGUGCUAAUACCGGAUAAGCCCUUACGGGGAAAGAUUUAUCGCCGAAAGAUCGGCCCGCGUCUGAUUAGCUAGUUGGUGAGGUAACGGCUCACCAAGGCGACGAUCAGUAGCUGGUCUGAGAGGAUGAUCAGCCACAUUGGGACUGAGACACGGCCCAAACUCCUACGGGAGGCAGCAGUGGGGAAUAUUGGACAAUGGGCGCAAGCCUGAUCCAGCCAUGCCGCGUGAGUGAUGAAGGCCCUAGGGUUGUAAAGCUCUUUUGUGCGGGAAGAUAAUGACGGUACCGCAAGAAUAAG
Molecule: ribosomal RNA, 438 nt
Filed under: uncultured bacterium
Lineage: Bacteria
Description: bacterial SSU rRNA
Rfam family: Bacterial small subunit ribosomal RNA
Source: RNAcentral